UUAAAUUUAAUUUAUUAAUUUUGUUAAUUUUUUAUUAAAAUAUUAAAAAUAAUUUUAUAAGAGAAAGUUUUAGUAUUGUUUAAAGAAAAAAUAAAUUUAAUUAUAGUUUAAUAGUAUUGUAAAAGAAAA
RNAcentral lists this ribosomal RNA (129 nucleotides) under Drosophila navojoa. RNAcentral's name for it is "partial 16S ribosomal RNA". Lineage: Eukaryota; Metazoa; Arthropoda; Insecta; Diptera; Drosophilidae. The record is from RNAcentral.